RNAcentral lists this ribosomal RNA (349 nucleotides) under uncultured bacterium. RNAcentral describes it as "partial 16S ribosomal RNA". It matches the Rfam family "Bacterial small subunit ribosomal RNA", at positions 339 to 705 of the family's 1533-position model. The record is from RNAcentral.
CCACGGGUGGCAGCAGUGGGGAAUAUUGCACAAUGGGGGAAACCCUGAUGCAGCGACGCCGCGUGAGUGAAGAAGUAAUUCGUUAUGUAAAGCUCUAUCAGCAGGGAAGAAAAUGACGGUACCUGAGUAAGAAGCCCCGGCUAACUACGUGCCAGCAGCCGCGGCAAUACGUAGGGGGCAAGCGUUCUCCGGCUGUACUGGGUGUAAAGGGAGCGUAGGCGGCCGUGCAAGUCUGGAGUGGAAGGCGGGGGCUCAACCCCCGGACUGCGCUGGAAACUGUGCGGCUGGAGUGCAGGAGAGGGAAGUGGAAGUCGUAGUGUAGCGGUGAAAUGCGUAGAUAUUAGGAGGA